This 571-nucleotide ribosomal RNA is filed under the name uncultured Weissella sp. RNAcentral's name for it is "bacterial SSU rRNA". It matches the Rfam family "Bacterial small subunit ribosomal RNA", at positions 94 to 652 of the family's 1533-position model. The record is from RNAcentral. Lineage: Bacteria; Bacillati; Bacillota; Bacilli; Lactobacillales; Lactobacillaceae.
AGUGGCGAACGGGUGAGUAACACGUGGGAAACCUACCUCUUAGCAGGGGAUAACAUUUGGAAACAGAUGCUAAUACCGUAUAACAAUAGCAACCGCAUGGUUGCUACUUAAAAGAUGGUUCUGCUAUCACUAAGAGAUGGUCCCGCGGUGCAUUAGUUAGUUGGUGAGGUAAUGGCUCACCAAGACGAUGAUGCAUAGCCGAGUUGAGAGACUGAUCGGCCACAAUGGGACUGAGACACGGCCCAUACUCCUACGGGAGGCAGCAGUAGGGAAUCUUCCACGAUGGGCGAAAGCCUGAUGGAGCAACGCCGCGUGUGUGAUGAAGGGUUUCGGCUCGUAAAACACUGUUGUAAGAGAAGAAUGACAUUGAGAGUAACUGUUCAAUGUGUGACGGUAUCUUACCAGAAAGGAACGGCUAAAUACGUGCCAGCAGCCGCGGUAAUACGUAUGUUCCAAGCGUUAUCCGGAUUUAUUGGGCGUAAAGCGAGCGCAGACGGUUAUUUAAGUCUGAAGUGAAAGCCCUCAGCUCAACUGAGGAAUUGCUUUGGAAACUGGAUGACUUGAGUGCAGU